UGGGGAAUAUUGCACAAUGGAGGGAACUCUGAUGCAGCGACGCCGCGUGAACGAAGAAGGCUUUCGAGUCGUAAAGUUCUUUUAUAUGGGAAGAUAAUGACGGUACCAUAAGAAAAAGCCCCGGCUAACUACGUGCCAGCAGCCGCGGUAAUACGUAGGGGGCUAGCGUUGUCCAGAAUCACUGGGCGUAAAGGGUUCGCAGGCGGAAAUGCAAGUCAGGUGUAAAAGGCAGUAGCUUAACUAGUGUAAGCAUUUGAAACUGCAUAUCUUGAGAAGAGUGGAGGUAAGUGGAAUUUUUAGUGUGGCGGUGAAAUGCGUAGAUAUUAAAAAGAAUACCGGUGGCGCAGGCGACUUCCGGAGCUCAUUAUGACGCUGAGGAACGAAAGCGUGGGUAGCAAACAGG
RNAcentral lists this ribosomal RNA (403 nucleotides) under Fusobacteriota bacterium. Its description in RNAcentral is "Fusobacteria bacterium partial 16S ribosomal RNA". It matches the Rfam family "Bacterial small subunit ribosomal RNA", at positions 355 to 776 of the family's 1533-position model. The record is from RNAcentral. Lineage: Bacteria; Fusobacteriati; Fusobacteriota.